GAUGAAGAACGUAGCGAAAUGCGAUAAGUAAUGCGAAUUGCAGAAUUCCAGUGAGUCAUCGAAUCUUUGAACGCACAUUGCGCCCUUUGGCCAUUCCGAAGGGCAUGCCUGUUUGAGUAUCAUGAACACCUCAACUCUUCAUGGUUUUCCGUGAUGAGCUUGGACUUUGGGGGUCUUGCUGGCCUAUGGUCAGCUCCUCUAAAAUAAAUCAGCUUGCCAGUGUUUGGUGGGUAUCACAGGUGUGAUAACUAUCUACGCUUGUGGUUUUCCACCAGGUAACCUUCAGCAGUGGAGGUUCGCUGGAGCUCACAGAUGUGUCUCUCCUCAGUGAGGACAGCUCUUUGAAUGUUUGAUCUCAAAUCAGGUAGGACUACCCGCUGAACUUAAGCAUAUCAAUAAGCGGAUGA
This 407-nucleotide unclassified non-coding RNA is filed under the name soil metagenome. RNAcentral describes it as "partial contains 5.8S ribosomal RNA, internal transcribed spacer 2, and large subunit ribosomal RNA". The stretch from base 1 to 122 matches the Rfam family "5.8S ribosomal RNA", at positions 35 to 154 of the family's 154-position model. The record is from RNAcentral.